CGGACCGGCGCACGGGUGAGUAACGCGUAUGCAACUUACCUAUCAGAGGGGAUAACCCGGCGAAAGUCGGACUAAUACCGCAUAAAGCAGGGAUCCCGCAUGGGAAUAUUUGCUAAAGAUUCAUCGCUGAUAGAUAGGCAUGCGUUCCAUUAGGCAGUUGGCGGGGUAACGGCCCACCAAACCGACGAUGGAUAGGGGUUCUGAGAGGAAGGUCCCCCACAUUGGUACUGAGACACGGACCAA
RNAcentral lists this ribosomal RNA (243 nucleotides) under uncultured bacterium. Its description in RNAcentral is "partial 16S ribosomal RNA". It matches the Rfam family "Bacterial small subunit ribosomal RNA", at positions 91 to 334 of the family's 1533-position model. The record is from RNAcentral.